Molecule: non-coding RNA, 111 nt
Filed under: Brevibacillus choshinensis
Lineage: Bacteria; Bacillati; Bacillota; Bacilli; Caryophanales; Paenibacillaceae
Description: TPP sequence
Rfam family: TPP riboswitch aptamer (THI element)
About the family: Vitamin B(1) in its active form thiamin pyrophosphate (TPP) is an essential coenzyme that is synthesised by coupling of pyrimidine and thiazole moieties in bacteria. The previously detected thiamin-regulatory element, thi box was extended, resulting in a new, highly conserved RNA secondary structure, the THI element, which is widely distributed in eubacteria and also occurs in some archaea.
Source: RNAcentral
UGACUACCAAGCGGGAGCCGAGCGUCGUCGGCUGAGAUUGUAACGAGAGUGUUACUGACCGUUGAACCUGAUCUGGGUCAUGCCAGCGGAGGAAGAGGUAUAACGAAACGU